RNAcentral lists this ribosomal RNA (343 nucleotides) under uncultured Pelagophyceae. Its description in RNAcentral is "partial Bacterial small subunit ribosomal RNA". It matches the Rfam family "Bacterial small subunit ribosomal RNA", at positions 1017 to 1360 of the family's 1533-position model. The record is from RNAcentral. Lineage: Eukaryota; Pelagophyceae.
CCUUCGGGAACUCUGACACAGGUGCUGCAUGGCCGUCGUCAGCUCGUGUCGUGAGAUGUUGGGUUAAGUCCCGUAACGAGCGCAACCCCUAUCCCUAGUUGCUAGCAGUUCGGCUGAGAACUCUAGGGAGACUGCCGGUGACAAACCGGAGGAAGGUGGGGAUGACGUCAGGUCAUCAUGGCCCUUACGGCCAGGGCUACACACGUGCUACAAUGGUAGGUACAGAGGGUUGCUACACAGCGAUGUGAUGCUAAUCUCAAAAAGCCUAUCGUAGUCCGGAUUGGAGUCUGCAACUCGACUCCAUGAAGUCGGAAUCGCUAGUAAUCGCGGAUCAGAAUGCCGC